AAUAAUCACUUUAAUGCAGCUUGCGCUCACUGUUGUACACUGGAAGCAGUUCCGGGUGGAUGACGUAUGGGGGUCGGCUUUGCGCAUUUAGCAUGUGUGUUU
Molecule: long non-coding RNA, 102 nt
Organism: Sinocyclocheilus anshuiensis
Lineage: Eukaryota; Metazoa; Chordata; Actinopteri; Cypriniformes; Cyprinidae
Exons: 3
Source: RefSeq, a predicted model, not a curated record